RNAcentral lists this transfer-messenger RNA (423 nucleotides) under Patescibacteria group. RNAcentral's name for it is "2-02-FULL-39-11 sp001779195 Standard tmRNA". It matches the Rfam family "transfer-messenger RNA". Rfam says of the family: Bacterial tmRNA, also known as 10Sa RNA or SsrA, is named for its dual tRNA and mRNA-like properties. Its role is to liberate the mRNA from a stalled ribosome. The record is from RNAcentral. RNAcentral also lists the same sequence under 1 other name.
GGGGAUGAAUUGAAUCGACGAGGUUGCACCUUAAAAUCUGCAAGCCGAAGUGAUUAUCUUCGUAAAAAGAAUCAAAAAACAACUGUCAGUAAAACUUCUGACACUCUGGAAGAUCUAGUCGCACGCGGUGAGGAACUCCUUGCUAAAGUACGAUUAGCCAGAGAAGCACAAGCUAAUUACGCAUUCGCGUAAAAAGCCAAAUGCCAUCGAUAGAAUCUUUUUCUUAGGUGAAGACCUAUCGGUGUAAACAAAGCCUAAGUGCUCCCGCCUAUGUGACUAAUCGGCGGGAAAAGACUAAGUCUCACCUUUUGUGUUGAUUGUUUGUUGGGAUACGCAAGAGGGACACUAUUACAACAAACUACGCUUGUAGACGAUUUUAAUCUGUUUCUUCGGACUCCGGGUCACUCCCGGACAUCUCCACAG